UUUACUCUGAAUAAAACGAGAGGCCUUUGGAGAGCUGUCAGUUCCGGAACCACAAGUCUAACAGGUUUAUUAGGAUCACACUGGUGACUGAGUUAAGACCAGGCUGUAUGGGGCAAAUACAAAGGAAGAGCCUCCAAGAAGUAAUCUGGGUGAGAGAAGACUGAGAGUUGCAGCAGGCUGGUCACAGGGCAGAUGAUGAGAAAUUGCUGGAUCCAGGAUGUAUUUGGGAGAUGCCUGCUCCCUCUUUGCCUGCUGCCAUGAUUGGAAGUUUCCUGAGGCCUCCCUUGAAACAGAAGCUGCUAUGCUUCCUGUACAGCCUGAAGAAUCAUGAGCCAAUUAAACCUCUUUACUUUAUAAA
This 358-nucleotide long non-coding RNA is filed under the name Homo sapiens (human). RNAcentral describes it as "HSALNT0154514". The record is from RNAcentral. Lineage: Eukaryota; Metazoa; Chordata; Mammalia; Primates; Hominidae.